RNAcentral lists this ribosomal RNA (249 nucleotides) under uncultured prokaryote. Its description in RNAcentral is "partial 16S ribosomal RNA". It matches the Rfam family "Bacterial small subunit ribosomal RNA", at positions 524 to 772 of the family's 1533-position model. The record is from RNAcentral.
UACGGAGGAUGCAAGCGUUAUCCGGAUUUAUUGGGUUUAAAGGGUGCGCAGGUUGUUUGAUAAGUCAGUGGUGAAAGUCUGUCGCUUAACGGUAGGAUUGCCAUUGAUACUGUUGGACUUGAAUAUGGAUGAGGUAUGCGGAAUGUGUAGUGUAGCGGUGAAAUGCAUAGAUAUUACACAGAACACCGAUUGCGAAGGCAGCUUACUAAUCCAUCAUUGACGCUGAGGCACGAAAGCGUGGGGAUCAAA